RNAcentral lists this unclassified non-coding RNA (229 nucleotides) under Hevea brasiliensis (rubber tree). Lineage: Eukaryota; Viridiplantae; Streptophyta; Magnoliopsida; Malpighiales; Euphorbiaceae. The record is from RNAcentral.
UAGAGUAGAGAAAGAGAAUCCAUAGAAUCGACCCUAUUAAAUUUUUGGGACAAAUGCUUAGUUGAGUUGAGUAUGGUAAAAAAUAACGUGGAAUAUUAAAAUUUGAAGCUAUAUGCUCUAUCAAACCCCUAGAAAAAAAAAUCGACCAAAUCAGUAGACACAUAUUAACCUUAAAUAAUAAAAAAUGAUAGCAAGAUAAUUAAAUGUCAAAAUAUAUUAAUAUAAAAUA